UUUUUUUUUUUUUUUUUUUUUUUUUUUGGGCUACUCAUGCAGCAGGCAGAGAUUCCCAGGCCAGGGACUGAACUGGAGCCACAGCAGCGGCCAGAGCCACAGCAUGACAAUGCCAGGUCCUUAACCCACUGAAUCACCAAGAAACUCCGGGAAAAUUCUUAAGAGUUUAUUACUUCCACUGUUUCCUUUAGCCACUGGAGUGCGGAUAUAUGACUGGUAUUAUUUUACCAUCAAAAAGAUCCCGCUUUAUAGUAAACAACCAUAUUAUUCACUUUUAUUUCCUUGAAAGUAGUCGGCUACAUGAUAACUGUGUUUUUGGAAAGACUUUCAAAUAAGAAUAAUUAUAUUGCAUAACCAGAACCACUAUGUUUUUGGUUAACGUAGGUAUUAUCAUCAAGACCUUAACACUGUGCCCACAGAGUCAGAUCAAGCCACCAAAGGGAUUCUAACCGAUGUCAUUCUAAUCCUGAAGCAUUUGUGGCACUCACAAAGAGGAAGCACAUAAAAAAGACUCCAAAAAGAAUGAUACAGUAAACAGAUUAACUGAAUCCAAUCAAGUGAUUUGAUAACCUGCCUGGGAAUAGACUCAUGAAUUAGGAAUGUGUUUAGAUUCUAAAGAAACAGGAUGAUAAGAAUACCCUAUCUUAAGAAUAAAGCAACUAUAAGGUAGAGAGAGCUCUGUGUGUGCCCCUAGUUUGGGGCAAAGACAUAUCCAUUAUCCUAAGGAUUUCUUUUCUUUUCUUUUCGUUUCUUCUCUCUCUCUUUCUUUCUUGUCUCUUUAGGGCCACAACUUGGCAUAUGGAAGUUCCUAGGCUAGGGGUCAAACUGGAGCUGUAGCUGACAACCUACUCCAUAGUCACAGCAACGGCCAGAUCUGAGCAGCAUCUGUGACCUACACCACAGGUCAUGGCCACACCAGAUCCUUAACUCACUGAGCAAGGCCAAGGAUCGAACCUGCAUCCUCAUGGAUACUAGUCAGGUUUGCUACUGUUGAGCCACAACGGGAAUUCCUUAAGGAUUUCUCUGGUCAUUAAGAAAUCAUAGUGGGUUGAGAAAGCAAUCCUCAAAAUUACAAGCAUCUUUAAACCUAGUAAGAGUUAUAAUGAAAUUUAUAAAAGUUUGAGAAGCCCACAUGUUAGCAUUUCUGUACCUAUUUGGUAUUUUAGCUAUCCAUAAUGUCUAAGAGAAAUAUGCCAGAAUAACAGAUUUGCCUUGUGAUUCCAACUUAAAUAAUGAAUUGAGAAACUGAGUUUAGGCUUGUGUAAAAUUCCACUCAAACAUAUAACAGAACUUAAGUCUUAGCAUACUUGUAAGUCUUCAUUCAUCAGAAAAGCCAUAAAUAGAAGGAAAAUAUUUAUAGAUCACAUAACUGACAAAGGAUUUAUAUCUGGGAUAUAUAAAGAAUUGUCAAAAGUCGGAGUUCCCAUCGUGGUGCAGCAGAAAUGAAUCCAACUAGGAACCAUGAGGUUUGCAGGUUCCAUCCCUGGCCUCGUUCAGUGGGUUAAGGAACUGGUGUUGCCAUGAGCUGUGGUGUAGUUUGCAGAUGAGGCUCAGAUUCCGAGUUGCUGUGGCUGUGGUGUAGGCCUGCAGCUACAGCUCCGAUUCAAUUACUAGCCUGGGAACCUCCAUGUGUCACGGGGGGCGGCCCUAAAAAGCAAAAAAAUUAAAAGUUUUCUCCCAUUAAAAUAAAUCUAUUAAGACUGAAGAAAUCAAACGCCAUCGCUAAGAUCUGAUAUCUUCCCUCUUUAAACAGCCGAAGCAUAUCUAGGAGGCCACAUAUCUUUAAAGUUAGAAUGUGGAGUUCCCGUCAUGGUACAGUGGAAAUGAAUCCAACUAGGAACCAGGAGGUUGUGGGUUCAGGUUUGAUCCCUGGCCUCACUCGGUGGGCUAAGGAUCUGGCGUUGCUGUGAGCUGUGGUGUAGGCUGGCAGGUGUAGCUCCGAUUAGACCUGUAGCCUGGGAACCCUCCAUAUGCCGUGGGUGAGGCCCUAAAAGCAAAAAAUAAGUAAAAAAUAAAGUUAGAACGUGUGAAGUAAUAAUACAUUUUUGUAAAAAAAAUCAUUCAAGAUAACAAUCUCAUUUUUCUCUCAACUUCUAAUUUCCUAAAACAUUUAAACCUGAAAAGAUCAUUAUAAUAAUUACAGGACAUUUUAAAUAAUAUGAAAUUAUUUCUAUCUUUUACCUGUUGAUCCAAACAUGGUCAACACUAAGAUAGAUGUAUAUAAGGUGGAAACAAGAGAAGCACUGUUAGAACUCUUCAAACUAAAAGCUAAUCUCCCCCCCAAAAAAAAUUAAUAUUUCUUUCCAUUCAGGGGUAGGUAUAGAUCAUGUAGUAGAGAAAAAAUAUUAUUGCCUAAUGAAGUUAGAAAAGCCUAAGAACCAAAUGGGAGUUUUAAGAAGAAAAGGAGAUAAGUCAGUGAAGUUUUAAUUGGACGUUGCCCCAAGGUAGAAAACAGUAUGUGUCCAAAUAUUUUUUAUUGAAGUUGGAGCGAUGCUUAGUAUUUGUCAACUUUUCCAUUAUACUAUCCCAGUGAGAAAAGAAACUUAAAACAAACACAAGUCGCAAUUGCCUUUCUGGGUCUCUGGCUCCUGUCAACUACUUAUCUAAAAAGAAAUCAGAUAUGCCUCCCUGCUUUUCAAAGGACUGCUUCAAAAAACCAGGAGAAAAAAUCUGGACAUCGUUAAUCUUUCUGUAUCAUUUAAACUAUGGAGAAAAGUAAAAUGAAGCGGGAAAAUCCUUACUUUCACAUGCGUUAUACUUUCCUCACCAACAGGGAGGAACAAACAGAGAGCAAUGCCAUGGCAGAACCCUGGUCUCAAGUAUCGCCUUUCUACAUCGCCCUCUUCCCCAUCCACUGACUUUUAAGGUCAUCGUUUUAGAAUACCUGCUGGUAGGUUUUCUCCAAGAAAUGCAGCCUUAAAAUGCCUCACAGUAAGCAGGCACCAAAGGAAACAAAUAUGUGUGAAACAACAAAGUCCAAGAAAAAAAAAAUCCUACUUGUCCUUUCUAUUGUAAUAACCACAUGAAUGUGGCAGGCAGAAAUCUGCGCUUGCCCUUACCGUUCCCUUCACGUGGUGAGCGGCCUGUGGAGGGUGGCCUCUAGAAGCUGAGGGUGCAUCCCAGCCAACAAUCAAACAAGAAAGUGGUCCUACAACAACGCGGCACUGAAUGCCACCAACAGCCGGUGAUCUUGGGAACUUGGCACGGGACUCUGAGCCUAAGAUGAUAUCAUGUUCCCAACUGACACCUAGAUUUCAGUCUGGUGAAAUCCCGACAAGGGGAACCAGAUCAUCGGUGCCCAGAAUCCUGACAAACAAGAAAGGCAAGAGAAUAAAUGUGUUUUGCUUUAAGGCACUAAAUUUGUGGUAACUGAAAGUGGGAUUCUGCCAUAACAGUAAUUAAAAAUGUGGGCGCAGCUUUGAAGUUGGGUAGUGAGCAGAAACGGGAAGAAUUUUGAGAAAGCCUAACUUGCUUUGAACAAAUUUACUACAUAUCUGGACUUGAAUCUAAAUAGUGUUGGUGUGAGGGCUCAGGAGGAAACAAGCAACGUGUGACUCAAGGCUGGAGGAGGAAGAUGCUUAUUAUGCAGUGGCAGAAGGUCUGGUCACAUUGUGUCCUGCAGUGACACGGAAAGCAGAGCUUACAAGUGGUAAAACUAAGGAGAUUUCCAAGUGAAGUGCUCAAGGUGCUGGCUCUCGUUUCCUCUUGCUCCUUACAGUAAAAUGCAAAAGAGGUAAGCUGAGGAAGGUGCUCUAAAAGAGAAAGGACAUGGGAGUAGAUGCCUGAAAAUUCCUAGCCUCUCCAGAGAGUAAAAGAUGCUAAAAAUCAGAAAUGGUUGCCAAAAAUAGACAAAAUAAUGACCUUCUGCUAAAAUUUCAGAAAGAUCAAAAGAUGAGAGGAUUUGGUCACAUGAAGGGCCUUUUCAAGAUUUUAAGGGCCUCUGGUAAGCGUGAAAGUUGUCCCUUAGCCAUCUUGGCAGGAGGCAAAGACAGGAAAAGGAUUAUUUUGAAAAAAAAAUUUGCAGGUGUAGUUUUGUCUCGGGUGGCGAAUCCCUGCGAAAUCCACACGAAAACCAGAGUUUCUGAGAAAACUGCUUCAGCCUAAACACUGCCAGGCUGGACUAAAAGAGAAAGAAUCUAAAACGGAAAAAGGCUGUGGGACCCAUCCUCAAUAAGGCUGGUAGAACGACCCAGCUGCAAAUGCAUGAUGCCAUCCUAGAAAAAGGAGGAAUGAUUCAGAAGGCAGAACCAGGACUCAGAGGGCAGAGUUGAGAGCCGUGAAGGAUUAUUCCCAGACUUUGAAUCCUAACCAAAAACCUCCAGUGAGAGUCUGCGAACCUGAAUCUCGGGACUGUGGCGGACCUCGUGACUCCUCUUGGGCUUUUCCAUCCUGCCCCUCCCCUCUGAACCAGCAUGGCCCUAGCAGUCAUCCCACGCUUGUCCCACUAUUGCAUGUUGGGAAUGCUGGGACAGUCUCUUUAAUUUACAGGUUCACAGAUACAUGACACAUAGGAGCCUCAACUAUACCUAACUUAUGUGACUUAAGGUGUGCUUUUGGACUCUGAGCUGAUGCUUUAAUAGGAUGGGAGUCAUGGGAGGGGAUAUAUUUCGCUUAUGUGUGUGUGUAUGGAUGGGGCCAGAGGGCAUAAAUAACAGAGCCAGAGAAAAGACUAUGGUAGGUAGAAUUCUGAGAUGACUCCCCAGAUUCCUGCCCUCCCCUCACCCCCGCAUAGCGGAUGUGUACAAUUGUCUUCCCUAGCAUGUCAAGGGAUAGCAGCUCAGUCGAUUCAGUUGUGUUGUAGAAGACUUUUGGAACAGACUAGAAAGAGAUUGAAAAACAGGGAGAUUGCCCUUGCUGGCCUUAACGGAGCCAGCAGCAAGGCUGUGACCUGCCUAUGGAGGGAGUCACAUGGCAAGGACCUGAUGGUAACGCUGCUGAGGUGAGAGCAGGUCCCAGCGGGCAGCCAGCAAGAAAAGGAUGGAUUGAGACCUUUAGCGCAAGGAAUUGCAUCCUAACAUCUAGUGAGCUUAGAAGACGACCCCCAGCCUCAGAUGAGAUUUCAGCCCAUGUGGCCAUGAGCAGAGGACACAGUUAACCUCCACCUGGACCUCCGAACCACGGGAACUGUCAGAUCAUAAAUGUGUUGUCUGGAGUGACUGACUCUGCGGGAAUCUGUUGUACAAUAGAAAACCAAUGCAACCAGGUCCGCAGAUGUUGAAGAAAACAUAACAAAGUCAGUCGUCGUCUUCUACUUCCGAGGCUUUUUGGAUAAUGUUUUCUGACCAUUAAAACUGCUCUCACCAGACAGGGAACCUGCUAUUAAGUAAAUUAAUCUUGUCUUUCUAGAGUUUUGUUUUUUUUUUUUUUUUUUUUUUUACACAUCUAUUACUUCAUGUUUCAACUGACAAAGCAGUUUGCACUGAGGUGUCUUUAACAUAUACUGUUUGAGACGUAACGUCAGAUGGUCCAGAAAGGUUGACCGAAGCUCCCUCGCCUGAAACGUGAAGUAA
Molecule: long non-coding RNA, 5510 nt
Filed under: Sus scrofa (pig)
Lineage: Eukaryota; Metazoa; Chordata; Mammalia; Artiodactyla; Suidae
Description: lncRNA (ENSSSCG00050012230.1)
Source: RNAcentral